UAAAUUCGCUUCCAUUUAUUGUUUCUAUUUUAUUUUAUUUUAUUCUCUCAAAAAUUUAAUUUUAUUCUUAAAAAUGAAAAGUCCGACUCUAACCGGAUUGCUGAAGCAGGUCGCGGCGGAGUUCCCGAACCGCCGCGCCCUUUCCGUUUCCGGAAAAUUCGAUUUGACCCACGCGCGGUUGCAGGAGCUCGUCGACCACGCCGCCUCCCUCUUAAUUGCCUCCGGCGUCGCCCCAAACGACACCGUCGCACUCACAUUCCCCAACACCGUCGAGUUUGUUGUGAUGUUUUUGGCGGUCAUUCGGUGCCGGGCAACAGCGGCGCCGCUUAACGCGGCGUACACGGCGGAAGAGUUCGAGUUCUACCUUUCCGACUCCGAGUCGAAGCUCCUGAUCACGCCGGAAGAACCGAUUCAUGCAGCCAAAGCGGCGGCUUCGAAGCUCAACAUUCCUCACUUGACCGCCAACCUGUCCGACGCCGCCAGCCACGUGACUCUCUCAUCCGCCGUCGAGGCGAGCCCCCACUCGGUAUCGCAACUAGUCAACGACCCGUCCGACGUGGCGCUCUUCCUCCACACGUCGGGCACUACGAGCCGGCCCAAGGGAGUCCCCUUGACGCAGCUCAAUCUGGCCUCCUCCGUCCAGAACAUCAAAUCUGUCUACAAACUCACUGAGUCGGACUCGACGGUGAUCGUCCUCCCUUUAUUUCACGUCCACGGAUUAAUCGCCGGGUUAUUGAGUUCCUUCUCCGCCGGCGCCGCCGUGGCUCUCCCAGCCGCGGGCCGAUUCUCCGCUUCAACCUUUUGGUCCGACAUGGUCGCAUACAACGCCACGUGGUACACCGCAGUCCCCACCAUCCACCAGAUCAUCCUCGACCGCCACAGCAGCAAACCCGAGCCGCAAUACCCGAAUCUCCGGUUUAUACGGAGCUGCAGCGCCUCCCUGGCUCCGUCUAUUUUGGCGCGGCUGGAAGAAUCGUUCGGCGCGCCGGUUUUAGAGGCCUAUGCGAUGACGGAGGCGACCCAUUUGAUGUGUUCGAAUCCGUUACCGGAAGACGGAGCCCACAAGCCCGGGUCCGUGGGUCGACCAGUGGGUCAGGAGCUUGCUAUUUUGGACGAGAAUGGUGCGGUUCAGCCGGAGGGCGUGAACGGCGAGGUUUGCAUUAGAGGGCCCAAUGUGACUAAAGGGUACAAGAACAACGCGGAAGCGAACAAAGCGGCUUUCUUGUUCGGGUGGUUUCAUACCGGGGACAUCGGAGUUUUGGAUUCCGAUGGGUAUUUGAGCCUGGUGGGUCGGAUUAAGGAGCUGAUUAACCGUGGAGGGGAGAAGAUAUCGCCAAUUGAAGUGGAUGCAGUGCUUUUGUCACAUCCAGAGGUUGCCCAAGGCGUUGCAUUUGGAGUUCCUGAUGAUAAAUAUGGCGAAGAGAUUAACUGCGCCGUAAUCCCAAGAGAAGGCUCGAGCUUAGACGAGGAACAAGUGAUGCGACAUUGCAAGAAGAAUCUGGCUUCCUUCAAAGUACCCAAGAAGGUGUUCAUCACCGACUCUCUUCCGAAAACUGCCACCGGGAAAAUCCAACGGCGGAUCGUGGGGGAGCACUUCCUUGCACAAAUAUCCACAGCCAAAGUUCCCAAGUUUGGCGCUUAAUUUUACUACAAUUCUAGCAGCCUAGCACAAGAACAUUUUUUUAGUUUAAUUUUGGCUAAAAUGUCAGAAUGGUCAUGUGUUAUGGUCAUGUGGUUCCCGUGUUUUCAAUUUUAUUCAACCUCUUGUAAAAUAUUCAUAUGAAAAAUUAUAAGAAAUAUAAUUACUCUUUCUCUUCA
Pyrus x bretschneideri (Chinese white pear) is the source of this 1818-nucleotide RNA transcript. It is a transcript of the gene named probable CoA ligase CCL9, with no coding region annotated. The transcript has 5 exons. The record is from RefSeq and is a predicted model, not a curated record. NCBI's taxonomy places the organism in Eukaryota, Viridiplantae, Streptophyta, Magnoliopsida, Rosales, Rosaceae.